Molecule: ribosomal RNA, 301 nt
Filed under: uncultured bacterium
Lineage: Bacteria
Description: partial 16S ribosomal RNA
Rfam family: Bacterial small subunit ribosomal RNA
Source: RNAcentral
CAGUAGCCACGGUAAUACAGAGGGUGCGAGCGUUAAUCGGAUUUACUGGGCGUAAAGCGUGCGUAGGCGGCUUUUUAAGUCGGAUGUGAAAUCCCUGAGCUUAACUUAGGAAUUGCAUUCGAUACUGGGAAGCUAGAGUAUGGGAGAGGAUGGUAGAAUUCCAGGUGUAGCGGUGAAAUGCGUAGAGAUCUGGAGGAAUACCGAUGGCGAAGGCAGCCAUCUGGCCUAAUACUGACGCUGAGGUACGAAAGCAUGGGGAGCAAACAGGAUUAGAUACCCGAGUAGUCCCUGUCUCUUAUAA